Molecule: RNA transcript, 7313 nt
Organism: Bombus pyrosoma
Lineage: Eukaryota; Metazoa; Arthropoda; Insecta; Hymenoptera; Apidae
Exons: 15
Source: RefSeq, a predicted model, not a curated record
AUUUGCACACACCUGUUUCACAAUUUUAUUUUGCUCUUAAAUCACCCUCGAUUAAUCAUUGCUGUUCAAGUAGCUUUUUUUUCGUGUGACGCUUCGUCAUUUUUCGAGAAAAUCCAGUUUUUCAUUAUCGAUUAACGAGCUUAUGCUUGAACACGACUGAUUCCGAACCAGACAGAACAAAUAAUUAGCAGGAAGUUGUUCUACAUGUGAAAAUAGGUCGAACCUGUGGAAUACAAUUUUUCCACAAGACGUUUUGUUUUUAACGUCAAACUUUCAAAGUUUCAAAGUUUUGGAAAACUUAUAUCUUUGGACAAUUAACAUAUUAAAUAAUAAUAAUUAAAAUAUAUAACAAUAAUAAGCGUGUCGUGCUUUCCUCCGUGUGGUUCUCGCUUAAAACGCUUAGAAACAACGUAGUUUGGACUUGCCAGAAUGACUGCAUAUAAAGUUAUCUUCUUCGAUGGUUGUAUGCAUUUUGUUUUCGCUUUCGUUUUCGUUUUCGUUUUCGUUUUCGUUUUCGUUUUCGUUUUCGUUUCCGUACUUUGGAACCUCGAUAUUAAACAAUUGACGCGAAUAUUCCCCGACGAUUGUGCUACUUAACGACCGCGUGUCUCCUCGAUGCAACGAUGAUACAUACGACCGACCCAAGAUUCACGCAACAUGCUUACGUGAUCGAUGUGUCGUUGCUCCAGAGUAUCGAUCCCGGUGGUCGAGGUGCAAACUAAAUAAGUAAAUGAGGUAAACGACUAGCGAACGAACGAAACGAUCAACGGUCAAACUAUCUUGAACGUAAAACGUAAAAAUCGAUAAUCGUUGAGUUCGAGUCUGUUUCACGAUUGAACGUUAGCGAUGAAUAAGGAAUACUUUUGUCGUUCAAAGGAUUUUUCUUACCGAGACGAUUCGAUAAACCUGUACGAUAAAUAUUUACGAAGGAAAUGCAAAGAAGGUUAUUAAAUAUGAAAGAACUCGUUUACAUGGUGAAAAACGAGCCGUUGUCGCAAGAACGGUUGGAACGGGUAGACCGGUAGAAUUAAGAAUCAACUACCACAAGAACGAGAAGAAUUAAUUACGAAGAAAUAAUAUCUAUCAUUUGCGUUCCGCCCGACCACAAAAUACUUUCGCUGAUGAAUUCCACGUUGCGCGAUAGUUCUUACAAUUUAGACGAUUAACAGUAUCUUCUAAUUUACGAGUCUUUGAUGACUCGGAUGAUGAAGCGGUUCGUUUCGAGGGGAAUCACCGAACAAUUUCAUGUUGGCCUUGAGCAACUUUUUUUUAGUCGGAGCGACGGUGACGGGCGCUCAAGGUUCCCUAAUGAUGUCCUUGCUACUGUGAUUCGUAUCUCUCGUACCGUAUCUCAUUAAUCAUCAGCUACGUCAUACGUGAUUAUUUGCUAAUCUAUGAGAAAAGAGAAAUGUGUCAGAGAAUAUCAAACAUCGAUAGGUAAAAUAAGGUCAAGUAUGACAGAAAAAAAAACAUUUCAAGCGACAAAAAUCUCUCUUUUACCUAAAAACUUGAAGCAACUCCGUUUAAAGUUUCCCAAGUUGCGCCUCUAAUAAUAAAUUAAGUAAUUCCCCUAGGCUUGAAUAAUUUAACGAUUAUCUCGCUGCGCGUAUACUGUGAAAAUUCCACUUACUUCGCUGAAGGAAAUACCUACGUUCUACUUUUAUGCUUAGAUUGUGCAGCGACUUCCAAAAGAUUGGUAUCAAUUUUUAAUUAAGAAAUUAAACGCCCGAGAAACGAAAAACGGCGAUCGAAAAUACGCGUUUCGUCUUCGUUUCUCUAAAAUCGAAAUCCUAUCUGUAUACGAUAUAUGGUUAUAUCCGAGCACUAUACGAAGAAGCGCCACAAUUUUACAAAACGCUGUUAUAUUCGACAUUGUGUCUCAUUUCUUGGUUAUUCUUUUCCGUAUACUUGGAAUGUCCGGUCUCGAUGACCCGGCGAAUCCUAUGGUAACGUGUUCAUAGGUGGCGCGCGUCGCGACGCCCUGCAUCGACUUCAUUCGCUGCGAGACUCUUCCUCGUAUCGCACACGUUCUCUUCUCCAACUCAUCUCCCGCCGUUCAUUUCCAUUGGUUCGUGCCGCGAACUAUGACUUGGAUAUGACGAGAAUCUCGUGACGCCAAGUCAAUCAGAUGAACUCGACAACGUUGAAAUCUUGGCUGCUACGAGGAGAACUUGAGAAACUAGAACAUGUCGUUCUAGAAGGACGCGGGGCACGUCUGUUGGGUGAAUAUUCUCCAGACCUGAGAACCAGAGUCUUCCUAAAAGGACUCCCAAAUUAUUUGACGAAAAUCUCUUGCGUGCACGACGCGGUUUCACGUGGUUCUCUGGCGGAAACGCGAAAGCUCGUAUCGGAAGAACCUAAAAAAAAGCUGGCCAUUGCGAAAGAUCCAGCUGGCACUCCUUUGCUUCACAAGGCAGUCUACCACGAUCAUCAAGAUAUCGUCGAGUGGCUUGCGCACAAUUUUCCCAUCGCUGUUCAGCAGAAAGAUAAAGAAGGAAGAACCGCGUUGCAUUACUGUGCUGCUUGCAAAGAUCCCGAGGCAAUUUGGGAUGUUCUCAUAGAAAACGACUGUGACGCGAGCAUUAUCGACAAAAAGGGUAAUCCCGCUUCGUACUAUUUGGAACAUAGUUCGGAGGUCGAGCUACCGGAAGCGGAGAACAUGUCUCAUCGCAAGACCAACUCUGGCAAGGAACUUCUGGACUUCAAACCUUCGAAUAUAAGAAUAUGGAUCCACAAUCGAGAUAUAGGGAAACUACAACGGGUUCUGUGGGAAGGCCAUGGGAACAAAUUACGUAUGGAGACGAGCAACAAUCUGCGAGUAAAAAGAUUCUUAGAAGCCGUACCAUUCAUAAUGAGUACAACGAAAGAUAUUCACGCAGCUACGGUGAAUAACGAUUUAGAGGGGCUCAGGGGCACAGUCGAGGCCUCGUCACCCAUCGUUCUUUGCGCCAAAGAUGGCAACGGCUUGAACGCCUUGCACAAGGCCGCUGGUUUGGGUCACACGGAAAUCGCGAGGGAAAUUCUUGGAAAAUACCCUUUCGUUGUGGAGGCGCAGGAUAACGAUGGCAAGACGCCGUUACAUUAUGCGGCUGCAGCAAAGGACGAUGGAACGUUAUAUAAUUUGAUAACGGAAUAUGGGGCCGAUGAAAGCAAAUUAGAUCACAAACAAAAGGCGCCGGCGUUUUACAAAAAUCGGCCAUCGGAUAUUGACCAAUCGCUGUUAACCGUGAUACCGGAAGCACCUCGAGUUGCCGGAUCUUCGUAUCCCAAACACUGGGACUGGAGGAUUCUAGAAGCGGAGCAAGCUAUAUCCAAAGGAAUGAAAAAAGCCAGCAGUGCGGAUAUCGAUAGCGCAUUUGGUAGCGCGGAAUCGACAACGAAAAGCUUGAGUAGAUCUAUGGAACAAAUAAAAAAUGUCGAGGAGGAGGAUCACGAGAAGGAGCAACAGGGAAACGCGGAAGACACAGAAAAUCAUGAAGUUACAGAGGAUACAGAGACCAUUAAAAAUGCAGAAGAUGCAGAAGAAGAUGCAGAGGAUGCGGCUAAUAGAGAAGGCGCAGAACCUGCUGAAAAUACGGGAGAUACGGAAAAUACGGAAAAUACGGAAAAUACAGAAAAUACAGAGGAAGGGGAGGCAGGACGUGAGAACGCGGAACAUGCAGAAGAAUCCAAAGAACCAGAGACCACAGAAAACAACGAAGAACGCGAGGGAGUAAAUGUCGAAGACACUGAAGAGAGGUCGUCGGACGAUGACGUGGUGACGGGUACAGCGGUCCCGGAAACUGAGGAAAAUUCCAAUGCGGAAAACGAAGCUGCGGAACAGCUGAAGCCAAAGGGAAUAGAAGGUGAGGAAGAGAGGAAAGAAGAAGAAGAAGAAGAAGAAGAAGAAGAGAAAGAGGAAGAGGAAGAAGAGGAGAAAGAGGAAGGAGAGCCUGCAGACACGGAGGGAGCCCCGAAAAUGGAAGAGGCCACCGAGCAGCAGAAGGGGAACAAAGCGGAGGAAGAAGAAAGAAACGAGCCGAGUACAGGCGACUCUGGUGUUGAUGAUCCAGGGAACGACGAAGACCAGCAGGUAAUCGUCGGCGAACACGAGGAGCUUCCGGAAGCAGAAGUAAACGAGGGCAGCAUGACGGCGGACCCGGAAAUCGAGAAGCUGCUGGAGACCGGCAACAUGGAGCAAUUGGCCGCGUUAGUGUUAAGUGGCGAAGGCAGAAGACUGGUCGGCCGACAUUCGGGCAAUCCUGAGCUGCAGGCAUUCAUCGAUCGUGUCCCUUCCUACAUGGGGAAAAUUCAUGCUGUACACAUGGCAGCGCAAGAAGGAAACCUGAGAGAUCUGCAGAGCGCCUUAGAUCGGCGCAAGUUUGCCGUUGCGAGAGACGGAUCAUCGCCGCACGGUGCAACACCUCUUCACGUUGCUGUUGUAUUUGGAAACACCACCGUUAUCAGAUAUCUGGCAGGCAGGUUUCCAGAAACCGCGCAUGCGAUCGAUCUCGAUGGCCGAACUCCUUUGCACUAUGCAGCCACCAUAGCGGACAACGGCCAUUACUACAACCUUCUACUUCAUUUGGGUGCCAAUCCUUUAGUUCAAGACAAUUUGGGUCAAAAGGCGGACUAUUACAAACAGAACCAAUCGGAAUUUUCCCAUAAAUCGCUUCUCCGCGAUUUCGGAGUUAACGAGAAGCUCGCCGACGAGAUGUUGGUGGACAAAGUUCCCGGAGGCGACACGUAUUCCGCGCGUCGAGACAUAACCGAACCAGAGACGCUGGCCACCUUGGAGAGAUGUUUCCGUCUUCUGAUCGGCGUAAGACACGGUACGACGCCAAAAUCUGCUGGGAACUCCGGCACACUGAUCGGCCGUUGCCUGAAACGGCCCGUAUUCGAUCGUAUCAAGCACCGUGUGACACGCAUGGACCACAAUCUCUUUGAUGUGAUCUGGCCCGCUUUAAAAAAAUACGGUAACUCGGCUUACAACAGCAAGGCGAGCAGCGCUUAUUCGGUGGUCAGCAACAUGGACGAGCACGAGUCUGUGUCGGUGGUAGCGCCGGACUACGAAAGUUACAUCGUGUUCGCAGACUUUUUCGAUCCUUUGAUCAGGGACAUACAUUGCGUGACUGCCAGCGGUGAUCUUCCCGACCACCCUCCGCCGAGAUUCUUUUACAACGAGAACGACGACAGCGAAGAGAAUGCCGACACGUUGGACGAAGUGGCAGUGUCGGCGAUCGAGUCGUACGAUCUCGAUCCUCCGGUCAAAUACGUUCAAGCCGCUGUAAUAGAGUGUUGCAGAAAUCUGGAAAAUUACACGCUUCCCUUGACGCUUACGGUGAACCAGCUGGAAGAGGUGGAACGAGAGAUCACCAGUGAAUUGAUGAGCCAAGAGAUCUCGGCAAUGAUGGCGGAGGGUAGCAGCGAGGACGAGCCCGGAACUUACUUUACCCUCAGCGAAAUUCUAGAUCAACCGAGUCCGAUCAGGGCCCAACUGGCAGCAGCCGGUUUGCUAUUGCCUAUUACCGAUCUUGAAGUUCACGAUGACAAACGUCUUCAUGGGAAGCACUGGCCAUACGGCCGAGGAGUUUACGUCGCCUCUGCCGGUGACCUGGCUGCUUGGGUGAACGUUCAGGAUCACCUGAGGGUUAUUUGUCGCACCAGCGAGAACAGACCGGGUUUGAUCGGUCGUGGCUACGUAAGACUGGCAAAGGUGAUGACGAUACUCGACGAAAGAAUGAAAUUCAAGAGAGACAAGAAGCUGGGCUUCCUCGGCGCGCGACCGUACGCCGUUGGCAAUACUCUUAGGUUUAACGCGAUAAUCAGGUUCCCGGAAUUGUCGAAGGAAUUCGAUCAUUUGAAGCACCUGUGUGUAGUUCGUGGAUUAAGUAUACAAGAAACAGCGAAACGGGAUAUGGUUCGAAUCGGUAACCAGCAAUCGUUGAGUAUUACCGAGCUGCAGACCCUUCAAGAUUUCUCCAGAGCUGUCCUGAAUAUUCUGGCGUUGGAGAAGGAACUAUCGAUAAACAAUUCGUUGAAGAUUGCAACAUUGAUCGCGGGAAUUUUCCGCAAACGGAACAGUGCUAAACGUUUCCAGAAUUAAUCGUUGUCGAGAGGGGACGCUACUAAAGCGACCAACGACCAACUCUGUCUUUCGUCGUCCAUGUUAUUCAACGCUCCUAUACUAUCAAUUUCAUUCCCUUUUUCUUUCUUUCUUCUUUUUUCUUUUUUCCUUUUUUCUUUUUCCUUUUUCCUUUUUCUUUCUUCCUUUUUCUUUUUUCUCUUCUCUUUUUUCUUGAUAACCGAAUAAUACGCUUAUACGUGGAAUCCUUCUGUGGCAAUUCCGUAUAUCGAGCCAAUACGCCGAUCGACCGUCCAUAAGCAAACUAAAGUCGGAAGUGCAAAGUGGAAAGUCGAAAGUGAGAGGAGAGGAAAGAAAAGAGACGGGUUGAGACGUUGGAAAGACGUGUGCGAACGUUAUUCUAUUUCUCGUGCACCGAAUUAAUUAAACGAAAAUGAAAGAUUAGCUGCUCGGAGGGACGCUGGAUUUUGUUCGUUAGGUUAGUAAAAUGAACGUUAUUGGUACAUGGGCAAUUGUUAAGACGCUUUGACAUGUUGUCGCACGACACCAUGCUUCUGUACCUACACGUAAAGUGUGUAUACGUGCCUAAAAACGGGCUAAAACCGGUUACACAGAGUUUCUAUAUAAAUUGGAUAAUAUCGCAAGAUGAUUUAUGUGUCAUGCACGAGCUGUUCCAUGUUCACACGAAACAGAAAUGGCGUAGCACGUGUCUUUCCAACUUGAACCGACGAACCGUACGUUUUUACGAGUGGCUACUGUACGCGAACGAUUAUACGUAAACGAAAAUCCUCUUUCGUUUCUAUCGCUUCUAUCGCAUCUAUCGCAUCUAUCGCAUCUAUCGCAUCUAUCGCAUCUAUCGCAUCUAUCGCAUCUAUCGCUUCUAUCGCUUCUAUCGCUUCUAUCGAUGUAACCCCUAUCGUAAAAUUCUCUUACUCGUGUGUAAACCUGCUUCCGCAUACGGUACAACGAGGAUCGUUUUCCAAAGUGCAAUCAACAGCUGUGCACUCAAUGUCCACAAUGCACCCGCCGUAUUUUGUGAAAAAUUUGCUUCUUUCUUAUUUUCUAACAAGAUAGAUAAGAUAAAUAAGAAAAAACGAGUAAAGCAUUAGGAACGUAUUGCGCCUCGAUCGAUGUAAAUUAAUUAAAUCGAUGUAAAAGAAAAGCCAGAGAUUCCAUUCGAAUAACAAUUUAUUACGCUUUAUAAAGCGAAGAAAUAGACGACAAGCCGGUUGAUAUAGCGAUAUUUCGA